RNAcentral lists this transfer RNA (82 nucleotides) under Kofleriaceae bacterium. Its description in RNAcentral is "tRNA-Leu". It matches the Rfam family "tRNA". Rfam says of the family: Transfer RNA (tRNA) molecules are approximately 80 nucleotides in length. Their secondary structure includes four short double-helical elements and three loops (D, anti-codon, and T loops). Further hydrogen bonds mediate the characteristic L-shaped molecular structure. tRNAs have two regions of fundamental functional importance: the anti-codon, which is responsible for specific mRNA codon recognition, and the 3' end, to which the tRNAs corresponding amino acid is attached (by aminoacyl-tRNA synthetases). tRNAs cope with the degeneracy of the genetic code in two manners: having more than one tRNA (with a specific anti-codon) for a particular amino acid; and 'wobble' base-pairing, i.e. permitting non-standard base-pairing at the 3rd anti-codon position. The record is from RNAcentral. RNAcentral also lists the same sequence under 1 other name. Lineage: Bacteria; Pseudomonadati; Myxococcota; Haliangiales; Kofleriaceae.
GCGAGCGUGGUGGAAUUGGUAGACACGCAGGAUUUAGGUUCCUGUGCUUCAUCGCGUGGGGGUUCGAGUCCCCCCGCUCGCA